CUCAACGGUACCCUGUGAGACCUGGUGACUGUGGAGAGUACUGCAGAGUUUAAGAACACAAAGCUGUGAACUACUGGACCCUAAUGUCCACUGGAACUAUGCCUAAUUCCCAAUUUCUGCACAUCUUUUCAAUUGACCCCGUCAUGACUAUGAUCGAUAAAGACAUGACGACGCACUUUUGCUUUGCAAAUCAGCUUUGGUUCAUAGUCCAAAACGAGUUUGCCAAAGCUCCAAAGAGCAAAGCUCUGCAGAGAGCCUUGAAUAUAUUACCUGGCUGUGAAGAGAACCUGGGUAAGGUCGACUCUGAUCUGAGAUAUGCUCUACUCUGGGUACGUUUCAGCAUUCCCUGCAAACCAACUUCAUAUUGAUGCCUUCAUGGAGGACAAGGAGCUGUGUUUUAUAGUCUCCAGAAUGGUUGUGGAAAGGUUGAUAGGUCACUGAACCCCAUCAGUGUUGUUCUCGGAUCCCAUUGUUGUUGGAUCAGAGUUAAUCAGCUACAGAGUGACCGUAAAUUGCCCCAGAAAUAAGGGAGGAUUCCUCCGCCAUGUUUGGAGAGCAGUGAAGCGACUCACCUGUGGCUGCUGCCGACAUGCUAGAGCUUGACCAAGCCAGGACUAAAAUACAUAGCCUAGACAAGUAGUCAUUGUUAUAUGAUCAUGUGCAAGCCCUACCUUUUCAAAAUCAGUUAUUUCAUUAUUAAAAUCGUUAUUGUAUUGAUAUGAAUAAAUUGCUUAUUCAUUAGA
Long non-coding RNA from Oncorhynchus nerka (sockeye salmon), 743 nucleotides. RefSeq lists it as uncharacterized. The transcript is spliced from 2 exons. NCBI's taxonomy places the organism in Eukaryota, Metazoa, Chordata, Actinopteri, Salmoniformes, Salmonidae. The record is from RefSeq and is a predicted model, not a curated record.